Molecule: long non-coding RNA, 849 nt
Filed under: Eucalyptus grandis
Lineage: Eukaryota; Viridiplantae; Streptophyta; Magnoliopsida; Myrtales; Myrtaceae
Description: long non-coding RNA (EGRA_LNC005902)
Source: RNAcentral
UCAGAUAAACCCCCACCAGUCGAGCUCCCCGCUUCGGUUUAUUCCCAUCUCUUCAUCCUCCUUCCAUCCAUCGAUUCUCUCUGUCUCCGUCUGUCUGUCUCUUCUCUCUUUCUGAAACAGAGUCCUUCGUUACUCUGUUUCUUCUCCGGCGGAGCCGAGAUCUCGCCUGUGCGAAGGGGAUCGGAGGAACGGAGAACAUGGACGAUGCGGAGAAGGCGAUCCCCCACAGGCCCGAAUCGAUGCUCCCGCCGAGGAGAGGCCAGAUCAAAGUCAGGAUCUUCAAACUGCUGGCGGCUCAAAUCGUCAAUCUCGCGAAGAUGCUGGGGAAUAUACUGAGGAGCGCGUGCCGUUGCAGUCGAGAGUCCGGCUCCGUGGAGCCGCUGGAAGACACGUAGCCUUCCGACACGUCGCUCGCGUCAUUUUUCCGGGAGCAUACUACCCAUUGGUGCAUGAAUUUUUUUCCUUUCGUUUCUGUUCUUUGCUUUUGUACAGCGGAGCAGAAACUUUUUUUUCUUUUUUUUUUUCAUGUUUUAUCUCGAGUUCUUCCUUGAUCCCGGAUGGGAAGAAAAUUGAGUAACCCACACAAGCAGAGCAUGGCUCAUUGCGCACCCAGUAAAAAGCUUGUAGCUUCUUUCCGUGGGUGCUUCUAUAAUGUUAUUUAUAUAAUAACAGAAGAAAUUUCGAUGGUCGCCGUCGCCAUUCUCUCUCUCUCUCUCUCUCUCUCUCUGUGGGGCCUCUGAUCUGAUGAUGAUGCAGAGAUCGCGCGCAUCGACUCCUGAUAUGGCUACCUUGGAUCCGACCGGGGGCGAGAGACUUGGGUCGUGCUCGAGCCUGUUUCGUGGCGGUGAG